ACAAGUUAUUUUUAAUAGACGUAAAACAUUAUUCUAAACAAAAAAUUGUUUUACGGUAUGUCUCUAAAACGCACUGAUCUUUUUAUAAGUUCGUCUAAACUUCGAAACAUAAAGCCACCCGUAAGAAAAUUACAAAAUGGCGGCCCUAUAUUUUUUGAUUUUACACUGUUUUUAGAAAUUCUUUUGAUCAGAAUUGUCGAUACCCAUUUAGUUCUUGCUGCAGAACACCUGACAGAUACUUAUUUUCAUCGAGACUGAAAACGCCCUCCGGCACAUUUUAGACGGCUGACAAAAUUGGGUCGAUUUUGGGUCGUACUUUGUCAAAAAAAUUAAUUUUAUAAAAAAAUCUGUGCAUUUUAGAGGCAUACCGUAGAUCAAUUUUUUGCUUAGAAUAACGUUCUGCGUCGAAUUGGUCAAAAUUUCAAUCCCCCAUUUUACAAGUAAUUUGGCACUACAAA
Long non-coding RNA from Bradysia coprophila, 458 nucleotides. NCBI's taxonomy places the organism in Eukaryota, Metazoa, Arthropoda, Insecta, Diptera, Sciaridae. The record is from RefSeq and is a predicted model, not a curated record.